RNAcentral lists this ribosomal RNA (106 nucleotides) under Debaryomyces hansenii. RNAcentral's name for it is "partial Bacterial large subunit ribosomal RNA". Lineage: Eukaryota; Fungi; Ascomycota; Pichiomycetes; Serinales; Debaryomycetaceae. The record is from RNAcentral.
UGAAGGAUAAAAAUCAAGUGGAAUGAAACAUCUGAGUAGCUUGAAAGUAACCAACAGGGGCAGUAUGUGUAGCGGUGAGUGAAAGUACUGUAGUCUUAAAGUAUCA